Molecule: transfer RNA, 70 nt
Filed under: Cricetulus griseus (Chinese hamster)
Lineage: Eukaryota; Metazoa; Chordata; Mammalia; Rodentia; Cricetidae
Rfam family: tRNA
About the family: Transfer RNA (tRNA) molecules are approximately 80 nucleotides in length. Their secondary structure includes four short double-helical elements and three loops (D, anti-codon, and T loops). Further hydrogen bonds mediate the characteristic L-shaped molecular structure. tRNAs have two regions of fundamental functional importance: the anti-codon, which is responsible for specific mRNA codon recognition, and the 3' end, to which the tRNAs corresponding amino acid is attached (by aminoacyl-tRNA synthetases). tRNAs cope with the degeneracy of the genetic code in two manners: having more than one tRNA (with a specific anti-codon) for a particular amino acid; and 'wobble' base-pairing, i.e. permitting non-standard base-pairing at the 3rd anti-codon position.
Source: Rfam by way of RNAcentral
GGAGAGAUGGCUCAGUGGUUAAGAGCACUGACUACCCUUUCAGAGGACCUGGGUUCAAUUCCUAGCACCA